AUGAAAACUGAACAUUACAAUUGACGAAAGCAGAAAAUUACAAUUGCUGGUGCAGGGGACGGACACCAGUGAGUUUGUAAGAUUUUUGAAUGACUAAUACCUCCUAUAAUAAUAUUCGGAACAAAAACCUAAGUGACAGGAAUAAAUGUUUAAAAGACGAGGAAUCAUACUAAACGUUUACUAACACAAGAGCUAUUUUACAACUGAAAUAACAAUUACAAUGAAAAUAAAAUUACAACUCAAACUUGAUGUAAUAUUUACAAUGUGCGGUCGAAAUUGGACAAACUGCGACUACGAUAGUGUCAAGGGGCUAAGUAAAGCUGCGGUCCUUGACACUUUGACUUGCACUAAAUUCUGAAUUAUUUUUCCUUUUUUUUUUUUUAUCAAAAAAGAAUUUGAGAUAAAGAUUCUCAGUUCACUUAAAAGAAAUACUAUUGAUUAUAAUAUUUCCAAUAAUACUUUUGAUUUGCAAAAUUAUGAUAAAGUCCUCUUUAUCA
RNAcentral lists this long non-coding RNA (497 nucleotides) under Olea europaea (common olive). RNAcentral describes it as "long non-coding RNA (OEUR_LNC011008)". Lineage: Eukaryota; Viridiplantae; Streptophyta; Magnoliopsida; Lamiales; Oleaceae. The record is from RNAcentral.